Molecule: ribosomal RNA, 460 nt
Filed under: uncultured bacterium
Lineage: Bacteria
Description: partial 16S ribosomal RNA
Rfam family: Bacterial small subunit ribosomal RNA
Source: RNAcentral
CCUACGGGCGGCAGCAGUGAGGAAUAUUGGUCAAUGGACGAGAGGCUGAACCAGCCAAGUCGCGUGAAGGAUGACUGCCCUAUGGGUUGUAAACUUCUUUUAUAAAGGAAUAAAACUAUCCACGUGUGCCUUUUUGCAUGUACUUUAUGAAUAAGCAUCGGCUAACUCCGUGCCAGCAGCCGCGGUAAUACGGAGGAUUCGAGCGUUAUCCGGAUUUAUUGGGUUUAAAGGGAGCGUAGAUGGGUUUUUAAGUCAGUUGUGAAAGUUUGCGGCUCAACCGUAAAAUUGCAAUUGAGACUGGCAGUCUUGAGUACAGUUGAGGUAGGCGGAAUGCGUGGUGUAGCGGUGAAAUGCUUAGAUAUCACGAAGAACCCCGAUUGCGAAGGCAGCUUACUAAACUGUGACUGACAUUGAUGCACGAAAGUGUGGGUAUCAAACAGGAUUAGAUACCCGUGUAGUC